GCCCCGUGUUUCCUGGCUGUGAGGAGGCAGAGACAUUUCCCUGCUCCUCACACCCCACGAUGCUCGACCUCCACCAAGAGAAGACGGCGGGGUGCAGGCCACCCGUCUGCUGGCUGACACAGCCCCACGGAAGGUUCUGGAAACUGUGAGCGAAACUGUUAUCCCUGAUGAGAGAGAGCAAGUCAUCUCUUCACCCCACCGAGACCUGAGAUCACUGCCAACCCUGGCAGGGAUCCACCUUAUGCCGGGCAUCGGGAAAGCACUGUACACACAGCUGUUAAUUCCUGGGGGAGCGGACGAGCCCGAGUUCCUGCUCCACCCAUCCCUCCUGGUGGCCUGGGAUACAGGCAUUGCCGGUUCUGGUGGGCCCAAGUGGUGUUUCCUGACUGCUGUUGUAGAGUUAGGCCAACCGAGACAGUGUCUGGGCUUCCAUUUCUCUCCGGCCACAUUUGACAGCUUGGUCAGGCUGUGUGGUUCUGAGCUCCAGCUACGGUGUCGGGGUUCUUGCACGUGGUGAGGGGUGGAGUGUGGCUUGUGUCUUUCUGUGGACAUCCUGGUAUUGGCAUCCAGAUCUCUUUCUUGGAAACAUCACUUGCAUGUUCAAAUACAUGAAUUCAGUUUGAAUUUGAGUAUUUAUUUUAAAGCUUGGGUCCUGUUACCUCUAAAAUAUGUCUAAGUGUGCUAUAGAAGACUUAGAAAGAAUAUACUGCUG
RNAcentral lists this long non-coding RNA (712 nucleotides) under Meriones unguiculatus (Mongolian gerbil). RNAcentral's name for it is "lncRNA (ENSMUGG00000001132.1)". The record is from RNAcentral. Lineage: Eukaryota; Metazoa; Chordata; Mammalia; Rodentia; Muridae.